Molecule: long non-coding RNA, 1533 nt
Filed under: Chinchilla lanigera (long-tailed chinchilla)
Lineage: Eukaryota; Metazoa; Chordata; Mammalia; Rodentia; Chinchillidae
Description: lncRNA (ENSCLAG00000028775.1)
Source: RNAcentral
UUAUGUCAUAAAUUAGGGGAGAAACAGGAGCUAGGACAUUUCAGCAUGCUUCCAGGAGAAGAGGUGUGGGAUGGUCUAAAGUCACCAAAGAUCUCCAUUGGAGAGAAAAAGAAAAACAGCUGGAACUUAUAACUAUUUGGAAACAUCAACAAUGUUGAAAUUUACACUCCCAUGUGCAGAUGUUAUCAGACAAUCAAAAAAAUGUGUACAAACAGAGAAAGAGGAAAGCCAUUGUAUUGAAGAAUGAUCCAGUUGGAUGGGACACAAAAAGUUACACUUGUCCUUUUUCUGAAGAACACUGUUAAUCAAUAAGAUGAGGUGUGCAGAAGAACAAAGGAAUGGAAUAUUAUGGCCCCUUUUUAUAUAUUUAUCAAAGACUACCUGACUACAGGCAACGUAUGCAGAACUGACCACAACUUGGUAUCUGUUGGACAACCACCGAGGUUACGCUAACAAUUAGGUCAUGAUGCUCAAAGUGAUGGUGGAACUAACACAGAGAGGAACUUCUCUGGUAGGGAAAAGGGUGCUACGGAAACUGGAUGACGAUGACAUAGCCCUGCAAAGAAGUUCUCCAGCCUGUGCACUGACUUUGGGAAUCAGUACAAGCUGCUGUCCAAUUUGCCAUACCUCAGUUCCAAAAAGCUUAGUGAUAAUAAAAAAUAUAAAUAAAUAGAAAAUCUCUAAGCUCAAUACCAAGUGUAGUCUAGUACUUCCUGUAAUAUUAUAAGUGCUUUGUGCAAAUCAAUGCUGAAACUCCAGGAUGCCUUGUUUUAUGUAACAUGGUUUUCUUUUUUUUUUUUUUUUUCUGCUGUGGCAUCUCUGAGGUGAAGAAUUUUUUUUUCAUGUUCAUAGGAAACAUAAAUUGAUUUAGUCUAGCUUUCCCUUGCACAUGGAAAAAAAGUGUACAUGGCCUUUCAAAUGAGCCAGUCACUCCAGAAUAAGGUCAUCCAUUCAGCAGAAGCAAGAUUGCUUUCAGAAGUAUACAAUAGCUCUGUAUAGGGAAGCAUGCAUUUUGGCAGAGAUAGACUAUAUCUGAACGCUUUAUGCAAAAUCCUUUAAGUUUAACUCAAACAAAAAGGACCCUGGAAUUGUUUCACUGUGCCAAGUGACUACUAGCCUUAGGUAACUACACACACACACACACACACACACACACACACUUUUUUUCUAUUUUAAUGGGAGACUAACUAUAAGCAUAUAUUUCUAUCACCAUAUAUUAGCUGUCUUCUGUCAAAAUUACAAAAGGUUAAAUAUAGCAUAACAUUUACUUCAAGAAGAAAAGAGUUUACUUUAAAAAUAUACCAAUGAACAAAGCAUAAACUAUAGCUGAAAUAUCAUACAUGAAUUAGUAUCUUUAUACUUUUGUUGAUUGUACAUACUUGGAAUUUUUUUGGUGAAUCAUUACUAUUUUUUUUCAAUGGGAAAUAUAAGCUAAACUGUAAACAUUUUGGUGAUAAUUUUAUCCUUGAUGCCAAAUAGUGUACUUAUUGAAUCCUCAAAAGUAUGCUAGUUCGUCCUCUGUUUCAGUUUUUC